AUUGAGCGCUGGCGGCAUGCCUUACACAUGCAAGUCGAACGGCAGCAUGGAAGAGCUUGCUCUUCUGAUGGCGAGUGGCGAACGGGUGAGUAAAGCAUCGGGACGUACCGUGUAGUGGGGGAUAACGUAGCAAAAGUUACGCUAAUACCGCAUACGCACUGAGGUGGAAAGCAGGGGAUCGCAAGACCUUGCGCUAUACGAGCGGCCGAUGUCAGAUUAGCUAGUUGGUAGGGUAAAGGCCUACCAAGGCGACGAUCUGUAGCGGGUCUGAGAGGAUGAUCCGCCACACUGGGACUGAGACACGGCCCAGACUCCUACGGGAGGCAGCAGUGGGGAAUUUUGGACAAUGGGGGAAACCCUGAUCCAGCCAUGCCGCGUGAGUGAAGAAGGCCUUCGGGUUGUAAAGCUCUUUCGGCUGGGAAGAAAUCGCACAGGCUAAUACUCUGUGUGGAUGACGGUACCAGCACAAGAAGCACCGGCUAACUACGUGCCAGCCGCCGCGGUAA
Molecule: ribosomal RNA, 506 nt
Filed under: uncultured bacterium
Lineage: Bacteria
Description: partial 16S ribosomal RNA
Rfam family: Bacterial small subunit ribosomal RNA
Source: RNAcentral